This 80-nucleotide ribosomal RNA is filed under the name Lelliottia nimipressuralis. RNAcentral's name for it is "partial 16S ribosomal RNA". The record is from RNAcentral. RNAcentral also lists the same sequence under 1 other name. Lineage: Bacteria; Pseudomonadati; Pseudomonadota; Gammaproteobacteria; Enterobacterales; Enterobacteriaceae.
UUUGUGAUUCAUGACUGGGGUGAAGUCGUAACAAGUAACCGUAGGGAACCUGCGGUUGGAUCACUCCUUACCUUAAAGAA